UACGUAGGUGGCGAGCGUUGUCCGGAUUUAUUGGGUUUAAAGGGUGCGUAGGCGGCCCUAUAAGUCAGUGGUGAAAUAUCGCAGCUUAACUGUGAGGGUGCCAUUGAUACUGUAGGGCUUGAGUGAAUUUGAGGUAGGCGGAAUUGACGGUGUAGCGGUGAAAUGCUUAGAUAUCGGAAGGAACACCUGUGGCGAAAGCGGCUCACUGGACCAUUACUGACGCUGAGGCACGAAAGCUAGGGGAGCAAACAGG
This 253-nucleotide ribosomal RNA is filed under the name uncultured bacterium. RNAcentral's name for it is "partial 16S ribosomal RNA". It matches the Rfam family "Bacterial small subunit ribosomal RNA", at positions 524 to 776 of the family's 1533-position model. The record is from RNAcentral.